Molecule: ribosomal RNA, 50 nt
Filed under: Pharyngostomum cordatum
Lineage: Eukaryota; Metazoa; Platyhelminthes; Trematoda
Description: partial 28S ribosomal RNA
Source: RNAcentral
CUGACCUCGGAUCAAACGCGAAUACCCGCUGAACUUAGGCAUAUCACUAA